Molecule: unclassified non-coding RNA, 333 nt
Filed under: soil metagenome
Description: partial contains 5.8S ribosomal RNA, internal transcribed spacer 2, and large subunit ribosomal RNA
Rfam family: 5.8S ribosomal RNA (bases 1-121)
Source: RNAcentral
GAUGAAGAACGUAGCGAAAUGCGAUAAGUAAUGCGAAUUGCAGAAUUCCAGUGAGUCAUCGAAUCUUUGAACGCACAUUGCGCCCGCCAGUAUUCUGGCGGGCAUGCCUGUUCGAGCGUCAUUUCAACCCUCAAGCACAGCUUGGUGUUGGGACUCGCGUUAAUUCGCGUUCCCCAAAUUGAUUGGCGGUCACGUCGAGCUUCCAUAGCGUAGUAGUAAAACCCUCGUUACUGGUAAUCGUCGCGGCCACGCCGUUAAACCCCAACUUCUGAAUGUUGACCUCGGAUCAGGUAGGAAUACCCGCUGAACUUAAGCAUAUCAAUAAGCAGAGGA